Long non-coding RNA from Coffea eugenioides, 133 nucleotides. RefSeq lists it as uncharacterized. The transcript is spliced from 3 exons. The record is from RefSeq and is a predicted model, not a curated record. NCBI's taxonomy places the organism in Eukaryota, Viridiplantae, Streptophyta, Magnoliopsida, Gentianales, Rubiaceae.
CUGGCUAAUGGGUUGGAGCUCAGUUUGUCAACAAGGUCGACACUGCGGAGAUCAAUUCUUUGUCUUCUGGUAGCACCAUUCUACAAUCAUGUCAAGUUUGGGACUGGCGUGGGUUUUGCUGUCAAAUUUUUUG